RNAcentral lists this ribosomal RNA (373 nucleotides) under uncultured Comamonas sp. Its description in RNAcentral is "bacterial SSU rRNA". It matches the Rfam family "Bacterial small subunit ribosomal RNA", at positions 1004 to 1382 of the family's 1533-position model. The record is from RNAcentral. Lineage: Bacteria; Pseudomonadati; Pseudomonadota; Betaproteobacteria; Burkholderiales; Comamonadaceae.
AGAGUGGAUUGGUGCCUUCGGGAACUCAGACACAGGUGCUGCAUGGCUGUCGUCAGCUCGUGUCGUGAGAUGUUGGGUUAAGUCCCGCAACGAGCGCAACCCUUGCCAUUAGUUGCUACGAAAGGGCACUCUAAUGGGACUGCCGGUGACAAACCGGAGGAAGGUGGGGAUGACGUCAAGUCCUUAUGGCCCUUAUAGGUGGGGCUACACACGUCAUACAAUGGAUGGUACAAAGGGUCGCCAACCCGCGAGGGGGAGCCAAUCCCAUAAAGCCAUUCGUAGUCCGGAUCGCAGUCUGCAACUCGACUGCGUGAAGUCGGAAUCGCUAGUAAUCGUGGAUCAGAAUGUCACGGUGAAUACGUUCCCGGGUCUU